CCUACGGGUGGCAGCAGUGGGGAAUAUUGGACAAUGGGGGGAACCCUGAUCCAGCCAUGCCGCGUGUGUGAAGAAGGCCCUCGGGUUGUAAAGCACUUUCAGUGAGGAAGAACGCCUGGUGGUUAAUACCCAUCAGGAAAGACAUCACUCACAGAAGAAGCACCGGCUAACUCCGUGCCAGCAGCCGCGGUAAUACGGAGGGUGCGAGCGUUAAUCGGAAUUACUGGGCGUAAAGCGCGCGUAGGUGGCUUGAUAAGCCGGUUGUGAAAGCCCCGGGCUCAACCUGGGAACGGCAUCCUGAACUGUCAAGCUAGAGUGCAGGAGAGGAAGGUAGAAUUCCCGGUGUAGCGGUGAAAUGCGUAGAGAUCGGGAGGAAUACCAGUGGCGAAGGCGGCCUUCUGGACUGACACUGACACUGAGGUGCGAAAGCGUGGGUAGCAAACAGGAUUAGAUACCCGAGUAGUC
RNAcentral lists this ribosomal RNA (465 nucleotides) under Vreelandella stevensii. RNAcentral's name for it is "partial 16S ribosomal RNA". It matches the Rfam family "Bacterial small subunit ribosomal RNA", at positions 338 to 795 of the family's 1533-position model. Lineage: Bacteria; Pseudomonadati; Pseudomonadota; Gammaproteobacteria; Oceanospirillales; Halomonadaceae. The record is from RNAcentral.